AUUGAACGCUGGCGGCAUGCUUUACACAUGCAAGUCGAACGGUAGAGGGGGCAACCCUUGAGAGUGGCGAACGGGUGAGUAAUAUAUCGGAACGUGCCCAGUCGUGGGGGAUAACGUAGCGAAAGUUACGCUAAUACCGCAUACGAUCUAAGGAUGAAAGCGGGGGACCGUAAGGCCUCGCGCGAUUGGAGCGGCCGAUAUCAGAUUAGGUAGUUGGUGGGGUAAAGGCUCACCAAGCCAACGAUCUGUAGCUGGUCUGAGAGGACGACCAGCCACACUGGAACUGAGACACGGCCCAGACUCCUACGGGAGGCAGCAGUGGGGAAUUUUGGACAAUGGGGGAAACCCUGAUCCAGCCAUGCCGCGUGUCUGAAGAAGGCCUUCGGGUUGUAAAGGACUUUUGUCUGGGAGGAAAUCCCUAGCGUUAAUAGCGCUGGGGGAUGACAGUACCGGAAGAAUAAGCACCGGCUAACUACGUG
This 479-nucleotide ribosomal RNA is filed under the name uncultured bacterium. Its description in RNAcentral is "bacterial SSU rRNA". It matches the Rfam family "Bacterial small subunit ribosomal RNA", at positions 30 to 507 of the family's 1533-position model. The record is from RNAcentral.